CUACGGGUGGCACCAGUGGGGAAUCUUGCACAAUGGGCGAAAGCCUGAUGCAGCCAUGCCGCGUGAAUGAUGAAGGCCUUAGGGUUGUAAAAUUCUUUCGCUAGGGAUGAUAAUGACAGUACCUAGUAAAGAAGCCCCGGCUAACUUCGUGCCAGCAGCCGCGGUAAUACGAAGGGGGCUAGCGUUGUUCGGAAUUACUGGGCGUAAAGCGCACGUAGGCGGACUUUUAAGUCAGAUGUGAAAUCCCAGGGCUCAACCCUGGAACUGCAUUUGAAACUGGAAGUCUAGAGACCAGGAGAGGUUAGCGGAAUACCGAGUGUAGAGGUGAAAUUCGUAGAUAUUCGGUGGAACACCAGUGGCGAAGGCGGCUAACUGGACUGGUACUGACGCUGAGGUGCGAAAGUGUGGGGAGCAAACAGGAUUAGAUACCCUGGUAGUC
Molecule: ribosomal RNA, 439 nt
Filed under: uncultured bacterium
Lineage: Bacteria
Description: partial 16S ribosomal RNA
Rfam family: Bacterial small subunit ribosomal RNA
Source: RNAcentral